UGGCCUAGUGCGUAGGGCACCAGCCUGGGAUUCUGGAGACCUGGGUUCUACCCCCAG
RNAcentral lists this transfer RNA (57 nucleotides) under Chelonia mydas (Green sea turtle). It matches the Rfam family "tRNA", at positions 8 to 63 of the family's 71-position model. Rfam says of the family: Transfer RNA (tRNA) molecules are approximately 80 nucleotides in length. The record is from Rfam by way of RNAcentral. Lineage: Eukaryota; Metazoa; Chordata; Testudines; Cheloniidae.